RNAcentral lists this ribosomal RNA (216 nucleotides) under uncultured bacterium. RNAcentral describes it as "partial 16S ribosomal RNA". It matches the Rfam family "Bacterial small subunit ribosomal RNA", at positions 1285 to 1500 of the family's 1533-position model. The record is from RNAcentral.
GUCUCAGUUCGGAUCGCAGGCUGCAACCCGCCUGCGUGAAGCCGGAAUUGCUAGUAAUCGCGGAUCAGCAUGCCGCGGUGAAUACGUUCCCGGGCCUUGUACACACCGCCCGUCACACCAUGAGAGCCGGGGGGACCCGAAGUCCGUAGCCUAACCGAAAGGGGGGCGCGGCCGAAGGUAAAACUGGUGAUUGGGGUGAAGUCGUAACAAGGUAUC